AUUAGGCAUGCAAGUCGAACGGUAUGGUGCUUUCGGGCAUCAGAGAGUGGCGAACGGGUGAGUAACACGUAGGUUAUCUACCCUCAAGACGGGGACAACCCAGGGAAACUUGGGCUAAUACCGGAUGAAAGCAACCGUGAGGUUGUUUAAAAGAUGGCUUUAAGCUGUCGCUUGGGGAUGAGCCUGCGUCCUAUUAGUUAGUUGGUGAGGUAACGGCUCCCCAAGGCAAUGAUAGGUAGGCGGCCUUAACGGGUGGUCGCCCACACUGGGAUUGAGAAACGGCCCAGACUCC
Molecule: ribosomal RNA, 292 nt
Filed under: uncultured bacterium
Lineage: Bacteria
Description: partial 16S ribosomal RNA
Rfam family: Bacterial small subunit ribosomal RNA
Source: RNAcentral